Molecule: ribosomal RNA, 500 nt
Filed under: uncultured bacterium
Lineage: Bacteria
Description: partial 16S ribosomal RNA
Rfam family: Bacterial small subunit ribosomal RNA
Source: RNAcentral
AUUGAACGCUGGCGGAAUGCCUUACACAUGCAAGUCGAACGGCAGCACGGACUUCGGUCUGGUGGCGAGUGGCGAACGGGUGAGUAAUACAUCGGAACGUGCCCAGUCGUGGGGGAUAACGUAGCGAAAGCUACGCUAAUACCGCAUACGAUCUACGAAUGAAAGCGGGGGAUCGCAAGACCUCGCGCGCUUGGAGCGGCCGAUGGCAGAUUAGGUAGUUGGUAGGGUAAAGGCCUACCAAGCCGACGAUCUGUAGCUGGUCUGAGAGGAUGAUCAGCCACACUGGGACUGAGACACGGCCCAGACUCCUACGGGAGGCAGCAGUGGGGAAUUUUGGACAAUGGACGCAAGUCUGAUCCAGCCAUUCCGCGUGCAGGAUGAAGGCCCUCGGGUUGUAAACUGCUUUUGUACAGAACGAAAAGGCUCUGGUUAAUACCUGGGGCUCAUGACGGUACUGUAAGAAUAAGCACCGGCUAACUACGUGCCAGCCGCCGCCGUAA